This 262-nucleotide ribosomal RNA is filed under the name uncultured bacterium. RNAcentral's name for it is "partial 16S ribosomal RNA". It matches the Rfam family "Bacterial small subunit ribosomal RNA", at positions 524 to 776 of the family's 1533-position model. The record is from RNAcentral.
UACGAAGGGGUCAAGCGUUUAUCGUAGUAACUUGGCGGGUCAGAACGUGUCGUCAGUGUUGGUUGUUAGUUAGUCUUGUUGAGAACCCCCGGGCUCAACCUGGGAAUGGCAAUGGAUACUGGCAAGCUAGAGUGCGGUAGAGGGUAGUGGAAUUCCCGGUGUAGCGGUGAAAUGCGUAGAGAUCGGGAGGAACACCAGUGGCGAAGGCGGCUACCUGGACCAGCACUGACACUGAGGCACGAAAGCGUGGGGAGCAAACAGG